Molecule: transfer RNA, 73 nt
Filed under: Camelus dromedarius (Arabian camel)
Lineage: Eukaryota; Metazoa; Chordata; Mammalia; Artiodactyla; Camelidae
Also listed under: 1 other name
Rfam family: tRNA
About the family: Transfer RNA (tRNA) molecules are approximately 80 nucleotides in length. Their secondary structure includes four short double-helical elements and three loops (D, anti-codon, and T loops).
Source: Rfam by way of RNAcentral
GAGGGUAUAGCUCAGUGGUAGAGUGCAAUGCUUAGCAUGCACGAGGUCCUGGGUUCAAUACUUGGUACCUUCA